CCUACGGGAGGCUGCAGUGGGGAAUAUUGGACAAUGGGCGAAAGCCUGAUCCAGCCAUGCCGCGUGUGUGAAGAAGGCCUUCGGGUUGUAAAGCACUUUCAGUGGGGAAGAAAGCCUUGGGGCUAAUACCCUCGAGGAAGGACAUCACCCACAGAAGAAGCACCGGCUAACUCCGUGCCAGCAGCCGCGGUAAUACGGAGGGUGCGAGCGUUAAUCGGAAUUACUGGGCGUAAAGCGCGCGUAGGCGGUCUGAUAAGCCGGUUGUGAAAGCCCCGGGCUCAACCUGGGAACGGCAUCCGGAAACGUUCGGGUUGGGGGCCAGGGAGGAAGGGAGGAUUCCCGGUGGUGCGGGGGAAAGGCUAGAGGUCGGGAGGAAAUCCCGGGGGCGAGGCGGCCUUCUGGACUGACCCUGGAGCUGGGGUUCGGAAGCGUGGGUAGCAAACAGGAUUAGAUACCCGGGUAGUC
This 465-nucleotide ribosomal RNA is filed under the name Vreelandella stevensii. RNAcentral describes it as "partial 16S ribosomal RNA". It matches the Rfam family "Bacterial small subunit ribosomal RNA", at positions 338 to 795 of the family's 1533-position model. The record is from RNAcentral. Lineage: Bacteria; Pseudomonadati; Pseudomonadota; Gammaproteobacteria; Oceanospirillales; Halomonadaceae.